GACGAACGCUGGCGGCGUGCUUAACACAUGCAAGUCGAACGGAAAGGCCCUGCUUUUGUGGGGUGCUCGAUUGGCGAACGGGUGAGUAACACGUGAGUAACCUGCCCUUGACUUUGGGAUAACUUCAGGAAACUGGGGUUAAUACCGGAUAGGAGCUCCUGUUGCAUGGUGGGGGUUGGAAAGUUUCGGCGGUUGGGGAUGGACUCGCGGCUUAUCAGCUUGUUGGUGGGGUAGUGGCUUACCAAGGCUUUGACGGGUAGCCGGCCUGAGAGGGUGGCCGGGCACAAUGGGACUGAGAUACGGCGCAGACUCCUACGGGGGGCAGCAGUGGGGAAUAUUGCACAAUGGGCGGAAGCCUGAUGCAGCAACGCCGCGUGCGGGAUGACGGCCUUCGGGUUGUAAACCGCUUUCGCCUGUGACGAAGCGUGAGUGACGGUAAUGGGUAAAGAAGCACCGGCUAACUACGUG
RNAcentral lists this ribosomal RNA (468 nucleotides) under uncultured bacterium. RNAcentral describes it as "partial 16S ribosomal RNA". It matches the Rfam family "Bacterial small subunit ribosomal RNA", at positions 28 to 507 of the family's 1533-position model. The record is from RNAcentral.